Non-coding RNA from Octopus sinensis (East Asian common octopus), 81 nucleotides. The record is from the annotation of a RefSeq genome assembly. NCBI's taxonomy places the organism in Eukaryota, Metazoa, Mollusca, Cephalopoda, Octopoda, Octopodidae.
GCCAGCAUGGCCGAGCGGUUAAGGCGGUAGCUUAAGGUGCUAUUACAGUAAUGUGCGUGGGUUCGAAUCCCACUGCUGGUA